Molecule: ribosomal RNA, 253 nt
Filed under: uncultured bacterium
Lineage: Bacteria
Description: partial 16S ribosomal RNA
Rfam family: Bacterial small subunit ribosomal RNA
Source: RNAcentral
UACGGGGGGGGUAAGCGUUGUUCGGAAUUACUGGGCGUAAAGGGCUCGUAGGCGGCCAACUAAGUCAUACGUGAAAUCCCUCAGCUUAACUGGGGAACUGCGUGUGAUACUGGAUGGCUUGGAUUUGGGAGAGGGAUGCGGAAUUCCAGGUGUAGCGGUGAAAUGCGUAGAUAUCUGGAGGAACACCGGUGGCGAAAGCGCGAGACUGGGCCGUAACUGACGCUGAGGAACGAAAGCCAGGGGAGCAAAAGGG